This 322-nucleotide ribosomal RNA is filed under the name uncultured eukaryote. RNAcentral describes it as "partial 18S ribosomal RNA". It matches the Rfam family "Eukaryotic small subunit ribosomal RNA", at positions 1470 to 1796 of the family's 1831-position model. The record is from RNAcentral.
CCCUUAGAUGUUCUGGGCUGCACGCGCGCUACACUGAUGCGUUCAACGAGUUUUUGACCUUGCCUGACACGGUUGGGUAAUCUUGUUAAAACGCAUCGUGAUGGGGAUAGAUUAUUGCAAUUAUUGAUCUUCAACGAGGAAUUCCUAGUAAGCGUGAGUCAUCAGCUCGUGCUGAUUACGUCCCUGCCCUUUGUACACACCGCCCGUCGCACCUACCGAUUGAAUGGUCCGGUGAAAUCUCGGGACGGCGGCUUGGUCGCUUGCGUCCGACUGCUGAAACUUGAUUAAACCAUAUCAUUUAGAGGAAGGUGAAGUCGUAACA